AUUGAACGCUGGCGGAAUGCUUUACACAUGCAAGUCGAACGGCAGCACGAGGGCAACCUUGGUGGCGAGUGGCGAACGGGUGAGUAAUACAUCGGAACGUGCCCAGUCGUGGGGGAUAACGUAGCGAAAGCUACGCUAAUACCGCAUACGAUCUAUGGAUGAAAGCGGGGGACCGUAAGGCCUCGCGCGAUUGGAGCGGCCGAUGGCAGAUUAGGUAGUUGGUGGGGUAAAGGCUCACCAAGCCUGCGAUCUGUAGCUGGUCUGAGAGGACGACCAGCCACACUGGAACUGAGACACGGUCCAGACUCCUACGGGAGGCAGCAGUGGGGAAUUUUGGACAAUGGGCGCAAGCCUGAUCCAGCCAUUCCGCGUGCAGGAUGAAGGCC
RNAcentral lists this ribosomal RNA (386 nucleotides) under uncultured bacterium. RNAcentral's name for it is "bacterial SSU rRNA". It matches the Rfam family "Bacterial small subunit ribosomal RNA", at positions 30 to 416 of the family's 1533-position model. The record is from RNAcentral.